RNAcentral lists this ribosomal RNA (497 nucleotides) under uncultured bacterium. RNAcentral describes it as "partial 16S ribosomal RNA". It matches the Rfam family "Bacterial small subunit ribosomal RNA", at positions 28 to 507 of the family's 1533-position model. The record is from RNAcentral.
GAUGAACGCUGGCGGCGUGCCUAAUACAUGCAAGUCGAGCGAACGGACGAGAAGCUUGCUUUUCUGAUGUUAGCGGCGGACGGGUGAGUAACACGUGGAUAACCUACCUAUAAGACUGGGAUAACUUCGGGAAACCGGAGCUAAUACCGGAUAAUAUUUUGAACCGCAUGAUUCAAAAGUGAAAGACGGUCUUGCUGUCACUUAUAGAUGGAUCCGCGCUGCAUUAGCUAGUUGGUAAGGUAACGGCUUACCAAGGCAACGAUGCAUAGCCGACCUGAGAGGGUGAUCGGCCACACUGGAACUGAGACACGGUCCAGACGCCUACGGGAGGCAGCAGUAGGGAAUCUUCCGCAAUGGGCGAAAGCCUGACGGAGCAACGCCGCGUGAGUGAUGAAGGUAUUCGGAUCGUAAAACUCUGUUAUUAGGGAAGAACAGAUGUGUAAGUAACUGUGCACAUCUUGACGGUACCUAAUCAGAAAGACGCGGCUAACUACGGG